RNAcentral lists this ribosomal RNA (253 nucleotides) under uncultured bacterium. RNAcentral's name for it is "partial 16S ribosomal RNA". It matches the Rfam family "Bacterial small subunit ribosomal RNA", at positions 524 to 776 of the family's 1533-position model. The record is from RNAcentral.
UACGUAGGGUGCAAGCGUUAAUCGGAAUUAUUGGGCGUAAAGCGCGCGUAGGCGGCUUGGCAAGUCGGAUGUGAAAUCCCUCGGCUCAACCAAGGAAGUGCAUCCGAAACUGCUGAGCUUGAGUACUUAAGAGGAUCGCGGAAUUCCCGGUGUAGAGGUGAAAUUCGUAGAUAUCGUAAGGAAGACCAGUGGCGAAGGCGGGUCUCUGGACAGUUCCUGACGCUGAGGCACGAAGGUCAGGGGAGCAAACGGG